Molecule: ribosomal RNA, 270 nt
Filed under: uncultured bacterium
Lineage: Bacteria
Description: partial 16S ribosomal RNA
Rfam family: Bacterial small subunit ribosomal RNA
Source: RNAcentral
CCGGCGACCGGCGCACGGGUGAGUAACACGUAUGCAACCUGCCCGUGGCAGGGGGAUAAGCGGGGGAAACCCCGUCUAAUACCGCGUAACGCGGCCUAGGGACAUCCCAAGGCCGCCAAAGGGAGCAAUCCCGGCCACGGAUGGGCAUGCGGCGCAUUAGCUAGUCGGCGGGGUAACGGCCCACCGAGGCGACGAUGCGUAGGGGUUCUGAGAGGAAGGCCCCCCACACUGGUACUGAGACACGGACCAGACUCCUACGGGAGGCAGCAG